UACGUAGGGGGCUAGCGUUAUCCGGAAUUACUGGGCGUAAAGGGUGCGUAGGUGGUUUCUUAAGUCAGAGGUGAAAGGCUACGGCUCAACCGUAGUAAGCCUUUGAAACUGGGGAACUUGAGUGCAGGAGAGGAGAGUGGAAUUCCUAGUGUAGCGGUGAAAUGCGUAGAUAUUAGGAGGAACACCAGUUGCGAAGGCGGCUCUCAGGACUGUAACUGACACUGAGGCACGAAAGCGUGGGGAGCAAACAGG
Molecule: ribosomal RNA, 252 nt
Filed under: uncultured bacterium
Lineage: Bacteria
Description: partial 16S ribosomal RNA
Rfam family: Bacterial small subunit ribosomal RNA
Source: RNAcentral